AGAGCCACUAUUCUGCCACCAGUUCUGUGUUCAUUCAGACAGACAGGAGGACAACAUGCCAACACUAUUCCUAUUCUCUUGGCUCAUUGGUGUCUGUCUGAGUCUUGAUGUCCGUCAGUCUUCCUCUGAUCUCAUCACCGAAUCUGGAGACAAAGUGGAGAUAUUCUGCAGCCAUGAUAAAACUGACUACAGGGUGAUGCUCUGGUACCAGCGCUCACCUGGAGACACAGCUAUGAAACUCAUUGGAUAUUUGUACUUUAAAGAUGUCAAAAUGGAAGAGCCAUAUAAAGAACAUUUCAAUAUCAUUGGAGAUUUGGGGGGAAAUACAGCAAAGAACGCCUCUCUUAAAAUCAAACUUGUAGAACAAGAGCACAGUGCGGUUUACUACUGUGCAGCUAGAGAAGCACAAUGACAAAUAUCCCGUCUACACUUUACAAAAACUCUGCUCAAUCUUUUCUCAUCACUGGUUUAUAAUAAGACAUGGAAUAAACUGCUCCCAGACACCUG
Molecule: long non-coding RNA, 507 nt
Organism: Sander lucioperca (pikeperch)
Lineage: Eukaryota; Metazoa; Chordata; Actinopteri; Perciformes; Percidae
Exons: 2
Source: RefSeq, a predicted model, not a curated record